RNAcentral lists this ribosomal RNA (440 nucleotides) under uncultured bacterium. Its description in RNAcentral is "partial 16S ribosomal RNA". It matches the Rfam family "Bacterial small subunit ribosomal RNA", at positions 338 to 795 of the family's 1533-position model. The record is from RNAcentral.
CCUACGGGUGGCAGCAGUGGGGAAUAUUGCUCAAUGGGGGAAACCCUGAUGCAGCGACGCCGCGUGGGUGAGGAAGUCCUUCGGUAUGUUAAGCCCUAUCAGCAGGGAAGAAAUUGACGGUACCUGACUAAUAAGCCCCGGCGAAUUCCGUGCCAGCAGCCGCGGUAAUACGGGGGGGGCCAGCGUUAUCCGGAUUUUCUGGGGGUAAAGGGAGCGUAGGCGGCGUGCCAAGUCUGGUGUGAAAGGCCUGGGUUCAAACCCGGCACUGCAAUGGAAACUGGCCUGCUGGAGUGCCGGAGGGGCAGGCGGAAUACGUAGAGUAGCGGUGAAAUGCAUAGAUAUUAGGUGGAACACCGGUAGCGAAGGCAGCUUGCUGGACGGAGACUGACGUUGAGGCUCGAGAGCGUGGGGAGCAAACAGGAUUAGAUACCCUAGUAGUC